ACAAAAACCGUUGUUUUAGAAGGUUUCUCAAAUAAAGUGCUUGUCUUUUGUCUUCUGAUGUCUUCUUUAUCCACAAAUUUCCCAAUCCCUUUCCUCAAUUUCAUUGUGCAGUCUAGCGAUCCGUCAAUAUUCAAUAGCCAAGGGAUAUUUCCCCAGCCCACAAAUGCUCCAUAUAUUGCUGGAAAUGGCAAAGAGGAUGUCACGGUCAUUUUUAGAAGAAGAGGAGGAGAUGAUCUGGAACAAAGCCACACCCAAUGGGCAAAAACUGUCAGAUCUUCUCCAGAUGUCAUUGAGAUGUCAUUCUACCCUAUAACUCUUCUGCUUGAAGGAAUCAAAGGCAAGGAGCAUUUGGAGCGUGCUAUAAGUCUUUAUCUCGAAUACAAGCCUCAAAUUGAAGAGCUGAGAUAUUUCCUAGAGUUUCAGGUCCCAAGGGUAUGGGCCCCUGUACAGGACAGAUUUCCAGGCCAACAGCGGAAGGAACCUGUUUGCCGGCAUCUCCAGUUCAGCAUGAUGGGACAAAAGCUUUAUGUUAGCCAAGAACAAGUGUCUGUGGGGCGUAAGCCUGUGACUGGCAUGCGAUUAACUCUUGAAGGUUCCAAGUCAAAUCGAUUAUGCAUCUAUCUUCAACAUCUGACCAACCUUCCAAAGAUCCUUCUGCCAUGUUGGGACACUCAUGUAGCAAUUGGCGCUCCAAAGUGGCAGGGCCCUGAAGAGCAGGAUAGUAGG
RNAcentral lists this unclassified non-coding RNA (726 nucleotides) under Hevea brasiliensis (rubber tree). Lineage: Eukaryota; Viridiplantae; Streptophyta; Magnoliopsida; Malpighiales; Euphorbiaceae. The record is from RNAcentral.